RNAcentral lists this ribosomal RNA (254 nucleotides) under uncultured bacterium. RNAcentral's name for it is "partial 16S ribosomal RNA". It matches the Rfam family "Bacterial small subunit ribosomal RNA", at positions 524 to 776 of the family's 1533-position model. The record is from RNAcentral.
UACGGGGGGAGCAAGCGUUGUUCGGAUUUACUGGGCGUAAAGGGCGCGUAGGCGGUCAGCACAAGUCAGUUGUGAAAUCUCCGAGCUUAACUCGGAAAGGUCAACUGAUACUGUGCGACUAGAGUGCGGAAGGGGCAACUGGAAUUCUUGGUGUAGCGGUGAAAUGCGUAGAUAUCAAGAGGAACACCUGCGGCGAAGGCGGGUUGCUGGGCCGACACUGACGCUGAGGCGCGAAAGCUAGGGGAGCAAACGGG